Molecule: ribosomal RNA, 253 nt
Filed under: uncultured bacterium
Lineage: Bacteria
Description: partial 16S ribosomal RNA
Rfam family: Bacterial small subunit ribosomal RNA
Source: RNAcentral
UACGUAGGGUGCAAGCGUUGUCCGGAAUUAUUGGGCGUAAAGAGCUCGUAGGCGGUCUGUCGCGUCUGCUGUGAAAACUCGGGGCUUAACCCCGGGCCUGCAGUGGGUACGGGCAGACUAGAGUGCGGUAGGGGAGACUGGAAUUCCUGGUGUAGCGGUGAAAUGCGCAGAUAUCAGGAGGAACACCGGUGGCGAAGGCGGAUCUCUGGGCCUUGCCUGACGCUGAGGCGCGAAAGCUAGGGGAGCGAACAGG